AAACUUUCAACAAUGGAUCUCUUGGUUCUCGCAUCGAUGAAGAACGCAGCGAAAUGCGAUAAGUAAUAUGAAUUGCA
This 77-nucleotide ribosomal RNA is filed under the name uncultured Scutellospora. RNAcentral describes it as "partial 5.8S ribosomal RNA". It matches the Rfam family "5.8S ribosomal RNA", at positions 1 to 76 of the family's 154-position model. Rfam says of the family: 5.8S ribosomal RNA (5.8S rRNA) is a component of the large subunit of the eukaryotic ribosome. It is transcribed by RNA polymerase I as part of the 45S precursor that also contains 18S and 28S rRNA. Lineage: Eukaryota; Fungi; Glomeromycota; Glomeromycetes; Diversisporales; Gigasporaceae. The record is from RNAcentral.